UGACUUGGUGUCUCACAUUUAUCCUCCGAGGCACCCCGUUCCUCUGCUAUCAGCCCUGCCUUGCCAUAUGGGUUGUCUCAAAACCAAUGGUCCAAAUGUUUCCUUGUGAGUGCCAUUUCUGGGAACGUGGGAGCCUGCAUGUGAUGAGGACUCUCUGCUGGGAACAACUUCAGGAUACCCAGAGGUCUUUCAAGGAUACCACACAUUGAGCAUGGAAAUCCUCACAGAAAAGAACAAACUGUGUUUGGAUGUUUUGGUUGUACUUGAAAACCUUACAGAAAUGGGGGAGCCAAAGGGAAUUCAGACUGCUGUUAGGUAACAAGAAAACUAUGCUAAUAAUUUUCCACGUAAGUAAGCAAGUAUUUCACGACUGAUGCUGCAAUGGG
This is a long non-coding RNA of Passer domesticus (house sparrow), 386 nucleotides long. RefSeq lists it as uncharacterized. The record is from RefSeq and is a predicted model, not a curated record. The transcript is spliced from 3 exons. Lineage: Eukaryota; Metazoa; Chordata; Aves; Passeriformes; Passeridae.